Molecule: long non-coding RNA, 363 nt
Filed under: Ananas comosus (pineapple)
Lineage: Eukaryota; Viridiplantae; Streptophyta; Magnoliopsida; Poales; Bromeliaceae
Description: long non-coding RNA (ACOM_LNC032312)
Source: RNAcentral
AAUGUUGUCUGAAAUACAUGCUAUACAUAUAUUGAUAUAUUAUAAAACGGGUAAAAUACAGAAAAUUUCUUUAUAAAUACCCAUUUUUUCACUUUCCAUCCUCGACUUACAAAAAUCUAUAUUUUGUCCCCUUCAAAUUUCAAAAAUGUUUUCAAGAGUGCACGAUGUUAAUGAAUAGGACAAAAAUGAUUAAAUUACCUUUACUUCUUCUAUAAAGAGAAAAUAAUUUUUAAAUAUAUUUCUGUCAUAUUGAUGAAUAUUUUCGGUAUAAUUUAUAAAUAAAUGGAUGGAACAAUGAUGGAACUUUAACGAAGGAGGACUAAAUGUAAUAACUUGAAAUGUUGAGGGAAUAAAAUAUAAAUU